This is a long non-coding RNA of Xenopus laevis (African clawed frog), 932 nucleotides long. RefSeq lists it as uncharacterized. The transcript has 2 exons. The record is from RefSeq and is a predicted model, not a curated record. Lineage: Eukaryota; Metazoa; Chordata; Amphibia; Anura; Pipidae.
UAGUAGUGUUUCUGAAGCAAACACACCAGUUUUACCAGUGCAGAGCAACACUGCAUUAUAUUUCUAUUACUUUAAGACUAUUUCAUGGUUUGAUGUUACUGUUCCUUUAAUCAUACUGACUAUCAUUAUAACUAUUAGCGUGCAACGUUUUAAUGUAAACAUUUAGUUUGUGUCCUGCAACCUGUAGUGAUCUUUCAUGGUUUCUUCAACUUACACUCUAAUUGGUUCUCAGCCUGUCCAUCAGGGUAAUAACACCGACCUGUACUUUGGUGUUUAGAAAUGAAUAUAUUGGAAUAUUCCUAUUGCACACUUUCUUGCAUGUUCUGCAUUGCCUUUAGAAGCUAUUGUGCACUUCAUAUCCCAGAAUUCUUCUAUAUAUCUGCAGCCAAAUCUGUAUAUGUUGUAGUCUUGUGCAGUAAUACGUCAAAUAACAAGGCAAGGGAGUAUAGCCUAGUUGGGAUGGGGUUAGAUUUGGGCAUGCUUGGCAUCAUAUAUAUAUAUAUAUAUAUAUAUAUAUAUAUAUAUAGUAGGACAGCAGCAACACGUAGAGUAUAUAGUAGGACAGCUGUAACAGGUAGAGUAUAUAGUAGGACAGCUGUAACAGGUAGAGUAUAUAGUAGGACAGCAGUAACAGGUAGAGUAUAUAUCAGGACAACAGUAACAGAGUAUAUAGAAAAUUGUGACCGUAUCAGAUCAGUGUUGUGUGAGCUGUUGUUGCAGUACAACUCCCAGCCCCCACCAGCGGGCAAAGGUUGUCAAGCAGUUUGCUUAAUUGUAUAUCUGGUUAGAGCUUUAUGUCAUACAGUCUUGAUGUAUAUAAAUAAUAGGAACCCACAGUGGAUAUCCAGUACCAAAUGCUCAGAGUAAAAAAAAAAAAAAAUGUAACCAAUAUUUGCUUUUCUUUCUGCUAAGUGCUGUUCUUACUGGAACAA